Molecule: ribosomal RNA, 460 nt
Filed under: uncultured bacterium
Lineage: Bacteria
Description: partial 16S ribosomal RNA
Rfam family: Bacterial small subunit ribosomal RNA
Source: RNAcentral
CCUACGGGAGGCAGCAGUGAGGAAUAUUGGUCAAUGGACGAGAGUCUGAACCAGCCAAGUAGCGUGAAGGAUGACUGCCCUAUGUGUUUUAAACUUCUUUUAUAUGGGAAUAAAAUGUUCCACGUGUGGGAUUUUGUAUGUACCAUAUGAAUAAGGAUCGGCUCACUCCGUGCCAGCAGCCGCGGUAAUACGGAGGAUCCGAGCGUUAUCCGGAUUUAUUGGGUUUAAAGGGAGCGUAGGUGGAUUGUUAAGUCAGUUGUGAAAGUUUGCGGCUCAACCUUAAAAUUGCAGUUGAAACUGGCAGUCUUGAGUACAGUAGAGGUGGGCGGAAUUCGGGGUGUAGCGGUGAAAGGCUUAGAUAUCACGAAGAACUCCGAUUGCGAAGGCAGCUCACUGGACUGCAACUGACACUGAGGCUCGAAAGUGUGGGUAUCAAACAGGAUUAGAUACCCGUGUAGUC